UUUUACUUUAAAUUAAAAGAAUUCACUGUUCAUACCAUUAGAUUGUUAGCUACCCAAGUGUAAUAUGAAGUUCUGUUCCUCCAGUUUGUGUGUGGCCUCACUCUGGCAAUGGAUAGGAC
Molecule: long non-coding RNA, 119 nt
Organism: Amblyraja radiata (thorny skate)
Lineage: Eukaryota; Metazoa; Chordata; Chondrichthyes; Rajiformes; Rajidae
Exons: 3
Source: RefSeq, a predicted model, not a curated record